CCCUGCGCGUUUUCGGUGUGUGACACGGGCCGCUGGAUACGUGGAGCCACCUGGCUGUAGAUCGGGGUGUCCGUGCUGUUGGGCGCCCGCGUCCCCGGCCCUGUGCCUGCCGGAGCGCCACGCUUCUGCACCACAGCGAUGCUCACAAAUUUGCUUGACCACCUGAGUAGCAACCACCUGAAUGGAUUCACCUGUCUCUCAUCUCCCAGCACUGGGGUUACACAGGGGGCCAAGCCACCCGUCCUGGCUUUGACUGGGUAAAUGAAGACCUGAACUCAGCAAGUGCUUUGCCCACUGAGGUAUUUCUUCAGCGUCGGAAAACUUUUUCUAUUCACUUAGACGUGUGAACGGUCAGCUAUAUGUUUACUCUCCAGCGGGCAGUCUAUUCCGGCUAACGAUUUCAGCUCAUUGCAUCAUGAACACACAUCCAGAAGUCUCACAAGAGAUGCAGCUGAGGGGCUGGGGAGAUGGCUCAGUGGUUGAGAGCACUGACUGCUCUUCCAAAGGUCCUGAGUUCAAUUCCAGCAACCACAUGGUGGCUCACAACCAUCUGUAAUGGGAUCUGGUGUGUCUGAAGACAGCAACAGUGUACUUACUCAUAUAAAUAAAAUAAAUCUUUUUUUUUUUU
Molecule: non-coding RNA, 628 nt
Organism: Rattus norvegicus (Norway rat)
Lineage: Eukaryota; Metazoa; Chordata; Mammalia; Rodentia; Muridae
Source: RefSeq, a predicted model, not a curated record